This 64-nucleotide transfer RNA is filed under the name Notomastus sp. GK-2021. Its description in RNAcentral is "tRNA-Ala". It matches the Rfam family "tRNA". Rfam says of the family: Transfer RNA (tRNA) molecules are approximately 80 nucleotides in length. Their secondary structure includes four short double-helical elements and three loops (D, anti-codon, and T loops). Lineage: Eukaryota; Metazoa; Annelida; Polychaeta; Capitellidae. The record is from RNAcentral.
GGCUUUUUAGUUUAAGUAGAACAUUUGAUUUGCACUCAAAAAGCGUAAUAUAUUUCAGAAGCCU